Molecule: ribosomal RNA, 301 nt
Filed under: uncultured bacterium
Lineage: Bacteria
Description: partial 16S ribosomal RNA
Rfam family: Bacterial small subunit ribosomal RNA
Source: RNAcentral
CAGUAGCCGCGGUAACACGGAGGGUGCAAGCGUUAUCCGGAUUUAUUGGGUUUAAAGGGUCCGUAGGCGGACUUAUAAGUCAGUGGUGAAAGCCUGUCGCUUAACGAUAGAACUGCCAUUGAUACUGUAAGUCUUGAGUAUAUUUGAGGUAGCUGGAAUAAGUAGUGUAGCGGUGAAAUGCAUAGAUAUUACUUAGAACACCAAUUGCGAAGGCAGGUUACCAAGAUAUAACUGACGCUGAGGGACGAAAGCGUGGGUAGCGAACAGGAUUAGAUACCCCAGUAGUCCCUGUCUCUUAUAC